GCCAUGCCACCCUGAAUACACUGAACAUUGAUCUUGUACUGAACAUGCUGAAGAUGUCUGAUCUCAGAAGCUAAGCAGGAUUGGGCCUGGUUAGUACUUGAAUGGGAGACCACCUAAGAAGACUAGGUGC
RNAcentral lists this ribosomal RNA (130 nucleotides) under Pteropus vampyrus (large flying fox). Lineage: Eukaryota; Metazoa; Chordata; Mammalia; Chiroptera; Pteropodidae. The record is from RNAcentral.